GACGGAGGAUGCAAGUGUUAUCCGGAAUCACUGGGCGUAAAGCGUCUGUAGGUGGUUUAAUAAGUCAACUGUUAAAUCUUGAGGCUCAACCUCAAAAUCGCAGUCGAAACUAUUAGGCUAGAGUAUAGUAGGGGUAAAGGGAAUUUCCAGUGGAGCGGUGAAAUGCGUAGAGAUUGGAAAAGAACACCGAUGGCGAAGGCACUUUACUGGGCUAUUACUAACACCCAGAGACGAAAGCUAGGGUAGCAAAUGGG
RNAcentral lists this ribosomal RNA (254 nucleotides) under uncultured bacterium. RNAcentral describes it as "partial 16S ribosomal RNA". It matches the Rfam family "Bacterial small subunit ribosomal RNA", at positions 524 to 776 of the family's 1533-position model. The record is from RNAcentral.